Molecule: ribosomal RNA, 425 nt
Filed under: uncultured bacterium
Lineage: Bacteria
Description: partial 16S ribosomal RNA
Rfam family: Bacterial small subunit ribosomal RNA
Source: RNAcentral
GUGGGGAAUAUUGGACAAUGGGCGCAAGCCUGAUCCAGCCAUGCCGCGUGAGUGAUGAAGGCCCUAGGGUUGUAAAGCUCUUUCACCGGUGAAGAUAAUGACGGUAACCGGAGAAGAAGCCCCGGCUAACUUCGUGCCAGCAGCCGCGGUAAUACGAAGGGGGCUAGCGUUGUUCGGAAUUACUGGGCGUAAAGCGCACGUAGGCGGACAUUUAAGUCAGGGGUGAAAUCGCGGGGCUCAACCCCGGAACUGCCUUUGAUACUGGGUGUCUCGAGUCCGGAAGAGGUGAGUGGAAGUCCGAGUGUAGAGGUGAAAUUCGUAGAUAUUCGGAGGAACACCAGUGGCGAAGGCGGCUCACUGGUCCGGUACUGACGCUGAGGUGCGAAAGCGUGGGGAGCAAACAGGAUUAGAAACCCUUGUAGUCC